This 613-nucleotide RNase MRP RNA is filed under the name Malassezia globosa CBS 7966. RNAcentral describes it as "RNase MRP". It matches the Rfam family "RNase MRP". From Rfam's summary of the family: RNase MRP is an enzymatically active ribonucleoprotein with two distinct roles in eukaryotes. In mitochondria it plays a direct role in the initiation of mitochondrial DNA replication. The record is from Rfam by way of RNAcentral. Lineage: Eukaryota; Fungi; Basidiomycota; Malasseziomycetes; Malasseziales; Malasseziaceae.
GGGAUGUGCAAAGGACCGCCAAUACUUGAUUGCAGCCCAGAAGCACUGGACUCUUGUCUGGUGCCCUGCUGUAGGGAAAGUCCCCGGACAUGGUAUGGUAUUGGAUCCCGAAAGGGACUUGGUGCGACAGAAUGUGUGUCUUGGUGUUGAUGUGACGGUUUCGAGCGUCUUGUAUGAUAAUGGAUGUGAGAAAGAUACCUGAUGCGCAAAUGCUUGUGUGAUUUGUUGCUGGAGAUGGGGAAAGCUUGCGUGUGGUAAGGGCACGUAGUCCAGUGACGCUAUCGCCGAGUGAAUUGUGCAAAUCUGGUCAUUUUUCUUGCUGUAUCCUCUGUACGAAACGACGUUUAUCGAGGCUGUGGUAUGUUCACAAUCUGUCUUGCGUCAACGCUCGUGUUUUUUUUGUUUGUAAGCUGCGAAGAUAUGAGCGUUUAUAAAAACUGAAACGCGAUGUGAGACGCUACAGAUAGUUGUUGAGCAUGCGUCACAUCAAGGGUGCAUACAUUCUCGUCGACAUCUUGUGCGUUAAGCGUCCGUGCCAAUGGUUCGUCAUUGUGAUAGUUAUGCGGUCACCGAUGCGAAGCGGCAACACAAUGGGGCUUACUCUUGUGCGUCC